GACGAACGCUGGCGGCGUGCCUAAUACAUGCAAGUAGAACGCUGAAGCUUGGUGCUUGCCCCGAGCGGAUGAGUUGCGAACGGGUGAGUAACGCGUAGGUAACCUGCCUGGUAGCGGGGGAUAACUAUUGGAAACGAUAGCUAAUACCGCAUAAGAGUAGAUGUUGCAUGACAUUUGCUUAAAAGGUGCAAUUGCAUCACUACCAGAUGGACCUGCGUUGUAUUAGCUAGUUGGUGAGGUAACGGCUCACCAAGGCAACGAUACAUAGCCGACCUGAGAGGGGGAUCGGCCACACUGGGACUGAGACACGGCCCAGACUCCUACGGGAGGCAGCAGUAGGGAAUCUUCGGCAAUGGACGGAAGUCUGACCGAGCGACGCCGCGUGAGUGAAGAAGGUUUUCGGAUCGUAAAGCUCUGUUGUAAGAGAAGAACGAGUGUGAGAGUGGAAAGUUCACACUGUGACGGUAUCUUACCAGAAAGGGACGGCUAACUACGUG
RNAcentral lists this ribosomal RNA (497 nucleotides) under uncultured bacterium. RNAcentral describes it as "partial 16S ribosomal RNA". It matches the Rfam family "Bacterial small subunit ribosomal RNA", at positions 28 to 507 of the family's 1533-position model. The record is from RNAcentral.